GAGGCUAGGAGUCGCCGAUCUGUAUGAAUCAUGCUGGGCACGAAUGCAGUGUGGCUUUUGAUGGCUUCUGAUGGACAGUUCUGUGUCAAAGGGGUGGAAGUGGCUGCCGAGGUCCUAAAGUUUCACACCCUCGCCAUGGGCAAAGAGGCACUAAACAGAAGUAGCUGGAAGUUGAAGGGGUGGACUUGAGUCUUAGACAUGUCUGGACCGACCAUUUUUGGGCUUAUAGGCCACUAUCAUGGAGGCUUGCUUGGGGUACUGAGUUUGAAGACGUUUUCAUAUAAAGGUGUGAAGAGUUGGGGGCACCUUACAAAGCCUGGAACAAGGAGUUAUAAGCUAAGGCAGACUUGUCAACCUGAAGAUUUAGAGGGUGUUUAUGAGAGCAGCAAUCCAGUUAUGAGAGCAGCUUACCAGUUGAAAGGUGAGGCUUAAAGACAUCAGUACUGUUGUCUUAUUCCAGAAUACAUGAUGAUCUCACUCCAACUUGAACUCUCUCACUGAUCACUUGAUGAUCAUAAAAGAUCUGAUAUUCUAUGUACUCAAUACCAUUAGAAUUGAAACACAGAAAUGUGACUAAAAACAGCUUCUUUGUCCUUGCAGGCACCUGAAUGGAUGCUUAUGGGAUAGAAGAUCAAAUUUCCAAUUUCAAUAAAUUUUUAUAAACCA
Long non-coding RNA from Neomonachus schauinslandi (Hawaiian monk seal), 666 nucleotides. RefSeq lists it as uncharacterized. NCBI's taxonomy places the organism in Eukaryota, Metazoa, Chordata, Mammalia, Carnivora, Phocidae. The record is from RefSeq and is a predicted model, not a curated record. The transcript has 11 exons.